Molecule: ribosomal RNA, 497 nt
Filed under: uncultured bacterium
Lineage: Bacteria
Description: partial 16S ribosomal RNA
Rfam family: Bacterial small subunit ribosomal RNA
Source: RNAcentral
GAUGAACGCUGGCGGCGUGCCUAAUACAUGCAAGUCGAGCGAACGGACGAGAAGCUUGCUUCUCUGAUGUUAGCGGCGGACGGGUGAGUAACACGUGGAUAACCUACCUAUAAGACUGGGAUAACUUCGGGAAACCGGAGCUAAUACCGGAUAAUAUUUUGAACCGCAUGGUUCAAAAGUGAAGGACGGUCUUGCUGUCACUUAUAGAUGGAUCCGCGCUGCAUUAGCUAGUUGGUAAGGUAACGGCUUACCAAGGCAACGAUGCAUAGCCGACCUGAGAGGGUGAUCGGCCACACUGGAACUGAGACACGGUCCAGACUCCUACGGGAGGCAGCAGUAGGGAAUCCUCCGCAAUGGGCGAAAGCCUGACGGAGCAACGCCGCGUGAGUGAUGAAGGUCUUCGGGUCGUAAAACUCUGUUAUUAGGGAAGAACAUAUGUGUAAGUAACUGUGCACAUCUUGACGGUACCUAAUCAGAAAGCCACGGCUAACUACGUG